Molecule: transfer RNA, 89 nt
Filed under: Coniochaeta sp. 2T2.1
Lineage: Eukaryota; Fungi; Ascomycota; Sordariomycetes; Coniochaetales; Coniochaetaceae
Rfam family: tRNA
About the family: Transfer RNA (tRNA) molecules are approximately 80 nucleotides in length. Their secondary structure includes four short double-helical elements and three loops (D, anti-codon, and T loops). Further hydrogen bonds mediate the characteristic L-shaped molecular structure. tRNAs have two regions of fundamental functional importance: the anti-codon, which is responsible for specific mRNA codon recognition, and the 3' end, to which the tRNAs corresponding amino acid is attached (by aminoacyl-tRNA synthetases). tRNAs cope with the degeneracy of the genetic code in two manners: having more than one tRNA (with a specific anti-codon) for a particular amino acid; and 'wobble' base-pairing, i.e. permitting non-standard base-pairing at the 3rd anti-codon position.
Source: Rfam by way of RNAcentral
GGUUGUAUGGUGUAGAGGUUAGCACUCCAGAUUCUGACUUUCGUCGAGAAACCUUUCUGGCGACCCCGGUUCGAGUCCGGGUACGACCU